GACCGGAGUGGACGCAUCACUGGUGUUCGGGUUGUCAUGCCAAUGGCACUGCCCGGUAGCUAAAUGCGGAAGAGAUAAGUGCUGAAAGCAUCUAAGCACGAAACUUGCCCCGAGAUGAGUUCUCCCUGAGACUUUAAGUCUCCUGAAGGAACGUUGAAGACGACGACGUUGAUAGGUCGGGUGUGUAAGCGCAGCGAUGCGUUGAGCUAACCGAUACUAAUGAACCGUGAGGCUUAACCUU
Molecule: ribosomal RNA, 241 nt
Filed under: Enterobacter hormaechei
Lineage: Bacteria; Pseudomonadati; Pseudomonadota; Gammaproteobacteria; Enterobacterales; Enterobacteriaceae
Description: partial 23S ribosomal RNA
Rfam family: Bacterial large subunit ribosomal RNA
Source: RNAcentral